Molecule: ribosomal RNA, 432 nt
Filed under: uncultured bacterium
Lineage: Bacteria
Description: partial 16S ribosomal RNA
Rfam family: Bacterial small subunit ribosomal RNA
Source: RNAcentral
AACGAACGCUGGCGGCAUGCCUAACACAUGCAAGUCGAACGAGACCUUCGGGUCUAGUGGCGCACGGGUGCGUAACGCGUGGGAACCUGCCCUUAGGUUCGGAAUAACUCCCCGAAAGGGGUGCUAAUACCGGAUAAUGUCUUCGGACCAAAGAUUUAUCGCCUUUGGAUGGGCCCGCGUUGGAUUAGCUAGUUGGUAGGGUAAAAGCCUACCAAGGCGACGAUCCAUAGCUGGUCUGAGAGGAUGAUCAGCCACACUGGGACUGGGACACGGCCCAGACUCCUACGGGAGGCAGCAGUGGGGAAUAUUGGACAAUGGGCGAAAGCCUGAUCCAGCAAUGCCGCGUGAGUGAUGAAGGCCUUAGGGUUGUAAAGCUCUUUUACCCGGGAUGAUAAGGACAGUACCGGGAGAAUAAGCUCCGGCGAACUCCGU